GACGAACGCUGGCGGCGUGCUUAACACAUGCAGGUCGAACGGAAAGGCCCUGCUUUUGUGGGGUGCUCGAGUGGCGAACGGGUGAGUAACACGUGAGUAACCUGCCCUUGACUUUGGGAUAACUUCAGGAAACUGGGGCUAAUACCGGAUAGGAGCUCCUGCUGCAUGGUGGGGGUUGGAAAGUUUCGGCGGUUGGGGAUGGACUCGCGGCUUAUCAGCUUGUUGGUGGGGUAGUGGCUUACCAAGGCUUUGACGGGUAGCCGGCCUGAGAGGGUGACCGGCCACAUUGGGACUGAGAUACGGCCCAGACUCCUACGGGAGGCAGCAGUGGGGAAUAUUGCACAAUGGGCGGAAGCCUGAUGCAGCAACGCCGCGUGCGGGAUGACGGCCUUCGGGUUGCAAACCGCUUUCGCCUGUGACGAAGCGUGAGUGACGGUAAUGGGUAAAGAAGCACCGGCUAACUACGUG
Molecule: ribosomal RNA, 468 nt
Filed under: uncultured bacterium
Lineage: Bacteria
Description: partial 16S ribosomal RNA
Rfam family: Bacterial small subunit ribosomal RNA
Source: RNAcentral